Metopolophium dirhodum (rose-grain aphid) is the source of this 1133-nucleotide long non-coding RNA. RefSeq lists it as uncharacterized. The transcript has 7 exons. The record is from RefSeq and is a predicted model, not a curated record. NCBI's taxonomy places the organism in Eukaryota, Metazoa, Arthropoda, Insecta, Hemiptera, Aphididae.
CUAUCGAAUGUAUCAUUCGAAUGUUUUUUUAUAUGACCGAAUAGUUUUCAAUUUAAAAACUGUUCGAAUACACCGAAUUUUUUCAGAACUAUCGAAAAUUCGAAUAAUUCAGAACUAUUGAAUAAUUCGAUUAUUCGAAUACUUCAGAACUAUCCAAUAUUUGAAAUACUAUCGAAUAAUUCGAUAGUCAUUAUUCGAUAGAGUCCAUCACUUCUAAUAACCAACACAUUUAGAUAAUAAACAAAUAAUUGGCAUUGUCUUAUUCUGUGUAAUUGGUUACAUCUUUUUACAUGAAGGAAUAACUAGGAUUUGUAUAUCUGCACGUCGCUUCUUCCGCUAUAUACUGACUACCUACUGACUUGUGACUACUCAACUAGUGGCUGCUGCAGAAUUCCGAGCAGAGUACACCUCGCUGUUUGCUUUUCCACUGUGAGCGUCUGAUGUUUUGAUGUUCAUGAUUUCGAUGCAGGGAUAACUACGAUUGCAUAUCUCGUCUAUACUAUACUAACUACUAACUUGUGAUAACAAGUGGCUGUUGCAGAAUUCUGAGCAGAGUGCAGUUUGCUGUUUGCCUUAGCACUGCGUGCGUUUGAUGGUCAUGGUUUCGAUUCAAAAGAAAACAUAUUUUUUGAUAAUCUACAUUACGUUAAAUAUUCAGAAUUUCAUUUUGGGAAUACCUACCUACAUUACGAUUUAGUGGUGUAAAAGUAUUUACCAUUCGAGGCUGCUGAUUAUAUGAUUAAUUUGCACUUGUAACCACUGAACGGACAUAUAAUGGAUUUUGAUCCUCAUUGUGCUGUACCAGGAUGUAUAACUAAUACUGAUGUAGAAGAGAAAGAAGAUAUCAACUUUUUCCAACCUUCAACAGAAAAUGUAUAUGGUUGGAGUUUAUCAUUAGGUUGCCAGUUGACCGUAAACAGUAAUGUGUGUCAAUGACACUUCAGAAUUGAAGAUAUUUUACAUCCAAAAUUAUUAGUAAAUGGGUCAAUUCAAACAGUAAAAGUAUUAGUACGUUCUGCUUUGCCAAUACCAAUGGAUGCUGCUGAGGAGUAGUAUUGUGCAAUCAAACCCUCCGCCGCUGUCGCUUCAAACUGGAAAAAUAUAAAAAUAAAAAUAAAUACCAAUUAAUGAUA